GUGAAAACAAAGACAAAAUCAAAGGAAAAAGAAGUGGAUCGGCGAUGGCUAGUAGACCGGCAACGCCGAGCGCCGCCCGAACAAGGAGAGGCACCGACUUCGGCGGAAGUCGUGACAGUGAUGGCUCUAUCAUUCGCCAUACCUUAUAUUCCAGUGCAUCCAUCAAAAUGCAUGUCCACCAUGUUAUUGGUGCGGCAGGUAGCCUAGUGGUUAACGUGUUGGACUAAAAAGGUUGCAAGACCGAAUCCCUGAGCUGACAAGCCGCUGCCCAGGCUCCAUCGUUUGGCCCAGUGCUCAGAGACUGCCGCAACUGCUUGCACCAGCUGGGCCAUUCCCGUUCCACCUCCCAAGAUGGCCUCCUGUCGCUCCCAGCGGUAUGCAGUGCGGAAGCUGGCUUUCCAAACUGUUGCUCCAAACCACCAUCACCUGGAUGAACUGAAAUUCCCCAACCUGCCUCACCUUUCAAGCAGUUUUCCCAUGCUUCAAUGGAAUACAUACAGUAUUGACUCCAUAUGGCCAUUCACAGCCAUUUUAUACAGCCUAUGUUAACGGUCCAGUGCUGAAUGUACUACCAACACAGCCCUACAUUGCCCAGCAUGAUUAUACUCUAUGUCAGGGAUGGGCAACUUUGAUGGGGUGGGGGCCACACAAAAAAUCUGAACUUAUCAUGAGGGGUUGCAUACCCACAUCCAUACCCACAUAUGCAGUCUGAGCCGGCCCUAGCCUUCUGGGGGUCAUAAGUAAAAUUUUGUUGGGGGUCUCCCUCUUGACAGCAGAAAAAACACUGUUUUAGCAUUCAUUUCCUGCAA
Oncorhynchus tshawytscha (Chinook salmon) is the source of this 809-nucleotide long non-coding RNA. Lineage: Eukaryota; Metazoa; Chordata; Actinopteri; Salmoniformes; Salmonidae. The record is from Ensembl.